UAGAGCAUAGCUUAAAUAAAGCAUCUCGCCUACACCGAGAACAUGUUUGUGAAAACCAAACUACUCUGA
RNAcentral lists this transfer RNA (69 nucleotides) under Allobates brunneus (Chupada rocket frog). Its description in RNAcentral is "tRNA-Val". Lineage: Eukaryota; Metazoa; Chordata; Amphibia; Anura; Aromobatidae. RNAcentral also lists the same sequence under 1 other name. The record is from RNAcentral.